GAUGAACGCUGGCGGCGUGCCUAAUACAUGCAAGUCGAGCGAACAGACGAGGAGCUUGCUCCUCUGACGUUAGCGGCGGACGGGUGAGUAACACGUGGAUAACCUACCUAUAAUACUGGGAUAACAUCGGGAAACCGGAUCUAAUACCGGAUAAUAUAUUGAACCGCAUGGUUCAAUAGUGAAAGACGGUUUUGCUGUCUCUUAUAGAUGGAUCCGCGCCGCAUUAGCUAGUUGGUAAGGUAACGGCUUACCAAGGCAACGAUGCGUAGCCGACCUGAGAGGGUGAUCAGCCACACUGGAACUGAGACACGGUCCAGACUCCUACGGGAGGCAGCAGUGGGGAAUCUUCCGCAAUGGGCGAAAGCCUGACGGAGCAACGCCGCGUGAGUGAUGAAGGUCUUCGGAUCGUAAAACUCUGUUAUUAGGGAAGAACAAAUGUGUAAGUAACUAUCGCCGUCUUGACGGUACCUAAUCAGAAAGCCACGGCUAACUACGUG
This 497-nucleotide ribosomal RNA is filed under the name uncultured bacterium. Its description in RNAcentral is "partial 16S ribosomal RNA". It matches the Rfam family "Bacterial small subunit ribosomal RNA", at positions 28 to 507 of the family's 1533-position model. The record is from RNAcentral.